Molecule: ribosomal RNA, 630 nt
Filed under: uncultured Verrucomicrobiota bacterium
Lineage: Bacteria; Pseudomonadati; Verrucomicrobiota
Description: bacterial SSU rRNA
Rfam family: Bacterial small subunit ribosomal RNA
Source: RNAcentral
AACGGGUGCGUAACACGUGAGAAAUCUGCCCUUAAGUUCGGAAUAGCCCUACGAAAGUAGAAUUAAUACCGGAUGUGGCCCAGGGAGGGCAUCUUCCCCUGGCUAAAGCUUGACCAGCAAUGGUUAGAGCGCUUUUGGAUGAUCUCGCGGUCUAUCAGCUUGUUGGUGAGGUAACGGCUCACCAAGGCUUUGACGGAUAGCUGGUCUGAGAGGAUGAUCAGCCUCACUGGAACUGAGACACGGUCCAGACACCUACGGGUGGCAGCAGUCGAGAAUCAUUCACAAUGGGCGCAAGCCUGAUGGUGCGACGCCGCGUGGGGGAUGAAGGGCUUCGGUUCGUAAACCCCUGUCAUCUGUGAGUAAGACUCCCAAUAAAAGCUUGGGAGGUUGAUAUUAGCAGAAGAGGAAGGGACGGCUAACUCUGUGCCAGCAGCCGCGGUAAUACAGAGGUCCCAAGCGUUGUUCGGAUUUACUGGGCGUAAAGCGUGCGUAGGCGGCGAGGUAAGUUUGGCGUGAAAGCCCCGGGCCCAACCCGGGAAAUGCGCUGAAAACUACUUCACUAGAGGUGUGGAGGGGAGUCUGGAAUUCCUGGUGUAGCAGUGAAAUGCGUAGAUAUCAGGAGGAACAUCA